RNAcentral lists this ribosomal RNA (468 nucleotides) under uncultured bacterium. RNAcentral describes it as "partial 16S ribosomal RNA". It matches the Rfam family "Bacterial small subunit ribosomal RNA", at positions 28 to 507 of the family's 1533-position model. The record is from RNAcentral.
GACGAACGCUGGCGGCGUGCUUAACACAUGCAAGUCGAACGGAAAGGCCCUGCUUUUGUGGGGUGCUCGAGUGGCGAACGGGUGAGUAACACGUGAGUAACCUGCCCUUGACUUUGGGAUAACUUCAGGAAACUGGGGCUAAUACCGGAUAGGAGCUCCUGCUGCAUGGUGGGGGUUGGAAAGUUUCGGCGGUUGGGGAUGGACUGGCGGCUUAUCAGCUUGUUGGUUGGGUAGUGGCUUACCAAGGCUUUGACGGGUAGCCGGCCUGAGAGGGUGACAGGCCCCAUUAGACCUGAGCUGCGACACAGCCCAGUACGCGAGGCAGCGGAGGAGAGUAUUGCACUAUGGGAGGAAGCAUAACCUAGUCAAGCAGCGUGGGGGGAGACAGCAUUGGGUUUGUAAACCGCAUUCGCCUGUGACGAAGCGUUAGUGACGGUAAUGGGUGAAGAAGCACCGGCUAACUCCGUG